This 460-nucleotide ribosomal RNA is filed under the name uncultured bacterium. RNAcentral's name for it is "partial 16S ribosomal RNA". It matches the Rfam family "Bacterial small subunit ribosomal RNA", at positions 338 to 795 of the family's 1533-position model. The record is from RNAcentral.
CCUACGGGCGGCAGCAGUGAGGAAUAUUGGUCAAUGGGCGCGAGCCUGAACCAGCCAAGUAGCGUGAAGGAUGACUGCCCUACGGGUUGUAAACCUCUUUUAUAAGGGAAUAAAGUGUGGGACGUGUCCUGUUUUGUAUGUACCUUAUGAAUAAGGAUCGGCUAACUCCGUGCCAGCAGCCGCGGUAAUACGGAGGAUCCGAGCGUUAUCCGGAUUUAUUGGGUUUAAAGGGUGCGUAGGCGGCCUUUUAAGUCAGCGGUGAAAGUCUGUGGCUCAACCAUAGAAUUGCCGUUGAAACUGGGAGGCUUGAGUAUGUGUGAGGCAGGCGGAAUGCGUGGUGUAGCGGUGAAAUGCUUAGAUAUCACGCAGAACCCCGAUUGCGAAGGCAGCCUGCCAAGCCAUGACUGACGCUGAUGCACGAAAGCGUGGGGAUCAAACAGGAUUAGAUACCCGGGUAGUC